Molecule: ribosomal RNA, 465 nt
Filed under: uncultured bacterium
Lineage: Bacteria
Description: partial 16S ribosomal RNA
Rfam family: Bacterial small subunit ribosomal RNA
Source: RNAcentral
GACGAACGCUGGCGGCGUGCUUAACACAUGCAAGUCGUACGGUAAGGCCCUUUCGGGGGUACACGAGUGGCGAACGGGUGAGUAACACGUGAGUAACCUGCCCACAACUUUGGGAUAACGCUAGGAAACUGGUGCUAAUACUGGAUAUGUGCUCCUGCUGCAUGGUGGGGGUUGGAAAGCUCCGGCGGUUGUGGAUGGACUCGCGGCCUAUCAGCUUGUUGGUGGGGUAGUGGCCUACCAAGGCGGCGACGGGUAGCCGGCCUGAGAGGGUGACCGGCCACAUUGGGACGCAGAUACGGCCCAGACUCCUACGGGAGGCAGCAGUGGGGAAUAUUGCACAAUGGGCGCAAGCCUGAUGCAGCAACGCCGCGUGCGGGAUGACGGCCUUCGGGUUGUAAACCGCUUUCAGCAGGGACGAAGCUUUUUGUGACGGUACCUGCAGAAGAAGCACCGGCUAACUACGUG